Molecule: ribosomal RNA, 472 nt
Filed under: uncultured bacterium
Lineage: Bacteria
Description: bacterial SSU rRNA
Rfam family: Bacterial small subunit ribosomal RNA
Source: RNAcentral
UCGUGAAUCUUCCGCAAUGGGCGAAAGCCUGAUCCAGCCAUGCCGCGUGUGUGAAGAAGGUCUUCGGAUUGUAAAGCACUUUAAGUUGGGAGGAAGGGCAGUUACCUAAUACGUGAUUGUUUUGACGUUACCGACAGAAUAAGCACCGGCUAACUCUGUGCCAGCAGCCGCGGUAAUACAGAGGGUGCAAGCGUUAAUCGGAAUUACUGGGCGUAAAGCGCGCGUAGGUGGUUAGUUAAGUUGGAUGUGAAAUCCCCGGGCUCAACCUGGGAACUGCAUUCAAAACUGACUGACUAGAGUAUGGUAGAGGGUGGUGGAAUUUCCUGUGUAGCGGUGAAAUGCGUAGAUAUAGGAAGGAACACCAGUGGCGAAGGCGACCACCUGGACUGAUACUGACACUGAGGUGCGAAAGCGUGGGGAGCAAACAGGAUUAGAUACCCCUGUAGUCCCUGAGCGGGCUGGCAAGGCGCAU